Molecule: long non-coding RNA, 433 nt
Organism: Synchiropus splendidus (mandarinfish)
Lineage: Eukaryota; Metazoa; Chordata; Actinopteri; Syngnathiformes; Callionymidae
Exons: 3
Source: RefSeq, a predicted model, not a curated record
CUCCAGCAUCUCUCUCUUUCUUGCCUUGUCUCACUGACCGCAAUGAUGGUGCUUGAUUCCUGAAGUCUGAAACGCUUGAGAACGCUCCAGAACUUUCUUUGCAAUCAUGGAGCACGACCAGGGACCCAGUUUUCAGACGGUGGCAGACCAGUGGCUAUACCACUGCUAUAUAGGAAGAAGGGAAUCAAUAAGGAAUCCUACAAAAGAGGAUGCAUCAGAAAAAGAGAAGUACUACCCACAUCUUUAUUUCUUAUCUGAUCUUCAGUGAGCUGGACUUUAAUAAGAGGCUGGACUGUGGUAAACAGCUUCCACCAGGGCCAAUCCUUCACACCUCGAUUCUUCUUGAUGUUCUUCUGCAGGCACCGGAUCGCCAAAUCCUGGAUCUACAUGCAACAAAGCACACAAAGAUAAAUAAAUAAAUCUGUAAUUACAA